RNAcentral lists this ribosomal RNA (429 nucleotides) under Pseudomonadota bacterium. RNAcentral describes it as "Proteobacteria bacterium partial 16S ribosomal RNA". It matches the Rfam family "Bacterial small subunit ribosomal RNA", at positions 355 to 776 of the family's 1533-position model. The record is from RNAcentral. Lineage: Bacteria; Pseudomonadati; Pseudomonadota.
UGGGGAAUAUUGGACAAUGGGCGAAAGCCUGAUCCAGCCAUGCCGCGUGUGUGAAGAAGGUCUUCGGAUUGUAAAGCACUUUAAGCUGGGAGGAAGGGCAGUAAGCGAAUACCUUGCUGUUUUGACGUUACCGACAGAAUAAGCACCGGCUAACCCUGUGCCAGCAGCCGCGGUAAUACAGAGGGUGCAAGCGUUAAUCGGAAUUACUGGGCGUAAAGCGCGCGUAGGUGGUUCGUUAAGUUGAAUGUGAAAGCCCCGGGCUCAACCUGGGAACUGCAUCCAAAACUGGCGAGCUAGAGUAGGGCAGAGGGUGGUGGAAUUUCCUGUGUAGCGGUGAAAUGCGUAGAUAUAGGAAGGAACACCAGUGGCGAAGGCGACCACCUGGGCUCAUACUGACACUGAGGUGCGAAAGCGUGGGGAGCAAACAGG